CCUACGGGCGGCAGCAGUGGGGAAUAUUGGGCAAUGGGCGCAAGCCUGACCCAGCAACGCCGCGUGAAGGAAGAAGGCUUUCGGGUUGUAAACUUCUUUUGUCAGGGAAGAGUAGAAGACGGUACCUGACGAAUAAGCCACGGCUAACUACGUGCCAGCAGCCGCGGUAAUACGUAGGUGGCAAGCGUUGUCCGGAUUUACUGGGUGUAAAGGGCGUGUAGGCGGGGACGCAAGUCAGAUGUGAAAACCACGGGCUCAACCUGUGGCCUGCAUUUGAAACUGUGUUUCUUGAGUACUGGAGAGGCAGACGGAAUUCCUAGUGUAGCGGUGAAAUGCGUAGAUAUUAGGAGGAACACCAGUGGCGAAGGCGGUCUGCUGGACAGCAACUGACGCUGAGGCGCGAAAGCGUGGGGAGCAAACAGGAUUAGAUACCCUAGUAGUC
RNAcentral lists this ribosomal RNA (442 nucleotides) under uncultured bacterium. RNAcentral's name for it is "partial 16S ribosomal RNA". It matches the Rfam family "Bacterial small subunit ribosomal RNA", at positions 338 to 795 of the family's 1533-position model. The record is from RNAcentral.